ACGGGAGGCAGCAGUGAGGAAUAUUGGUCAAUGGGCGGAAGCCUGAACCAGCCAAGUCGCGUGAAGGAUGAAGGUAUUAUGUAUUGUAAACUUCUUUAGCAGUGGAGUAAUAAGGGGAUCGUGAUCCCUGAUGCAAGUACACUGAAAAUAAGGAUCGGCUAACUCCGUGCCAGCAGCCGCGGUAAUACGGAGGCUCCGAGCGUUAUCCGGAUUUAUUGGGUUUAAAGGGUGCGCAGGCGGCUUUUUAAGUCAGCGGUAAAAUCGUGGGGCUCAACCCCAUCCUGCCGUUGAUACUGGAGAGCUUGAUUGCGGUUGAGUUUGGCGGAAUUCGUCGUUUAGCGGUGAAAUGCAUAGAUAUGACGAAGAACUCCGAUUGCGUAGGCAGCUGACCAAGCCGUAAAUGACGCUCAUGCACGAAAGUGCGGGGAUCGAACAGGAUUAGAUACCCUGGUA
RNAcentral lists this ribosomal RNA (453 nucleotides) under uncultured Porphyromonadaceae bacterium. RNAcentral describes it as "partial 16S ribosomal RNA". It matches the Rfam family "Bacterial small subunit ribosomal RNA", at positions 341 to 792 of the family's 1533-position model. The record is from RNAcentral. Lineage: Bacteria; Pseudomonadati; Bacteroidota; Bacteroidia; Bacteroidales; Porphyromonadaceae.